UGCGAAUCGAGAGGCCCGUCAAGAUGGC
This 28-nucleotide small RNA is filed under the name Bombyx mori (domestic silkworm). Its description in RNAcentral is "ovarian small RNA-33928". Lineage: Eukaryota; Metazoa; Arthropoda; Insecta; Lepidoptera; Bombycidae. The record is from RNAcentral.